Molecule: long non-coding RNA, 234 nt
Organism: Acyrthosiphon pisum (pea aphid)
Lineage: Eukaryota; Metazoa; Arthropoda; Insecta; Hemiptera; Aphididae
Exons: 2
Source: RefSeq, a predicted model, not a curated record
GUAAGAUCAAACACUAACUGAAUCAAAUAACGCAGACUAUAAUUAUUACUAUUCUUAAUGAUCCGAGAUGCGAAUAAUAGCUAAAGUCAUAAUUUUGAAUAUAUUGGUUUGUAAAUUCAUUCCUUUGACAAGUUAUGGGAAGACCACGAACAUCAUUUUUAAUAAGAUCAUAAGCUGUGUUAAAUGUAGCCUCGUAACUGGGCAAACGUUUCUGCUUCUCUACAAUAUAUAAAU